ACAAAACCCGCAUGAGGGAUAGAAGUGGAAAUCCUUUUGUGGCGGGGUUCGCCACAAAAGAUUGGAACGGAUAGCCCGACCCGGA
This 85-nucleotide small RNA is filed under the name Flavobacterium sp. 270. RNAcentral's name for it is "Flavo-1 RNA". It matches the Rfam family "Flavo-1 RNA". The record is from RNAcentral. Lineage: Bacteria; Pseudomonadati; Bacteroidota; Flavobacteriia; Flavobacteriales; Flavobacteriaceae.